Molecule: ribosomal RNA, 292 nt
Filed under: uncultured Novosphingobium sp.
Lineage: Bacteria; Pseudomonadati; Pseudomonadota; Alphaproteobacteria; Sphingomonadales; Sphingomonadaceae
Description: partial 16S ribosomal RNA
Rfam family: Bacterial small subunit ribosomal RNA
Source: RNAcentral
GUGUCAGCAGCCGCGGUAAUACGGAGGGAGCUAGCGUUGUUCGGAAUUACUGGGCGUAAAGCGCACGUAGGCGGCUACUCAAGUCAGAGGUGAAAGCCCGGGGCUCAACCCCGGAACUGCCUUUGAAACUAGGUGGCUAGAAUCUUGGAGAGGCGAGUGGAAUUCCGAGUGUAGAGGUGAGAUUCGUAGAUAUUCGGAAGAACACCAGUGGCGAAGGCGAUUCGCUGGACAAGUAUUGACGCUGAGGUGCGAAAGCGUGGGGAGCAAACAGGAUUAGAAACCCCAGUAGUCC